Molecule: long non-coding RNA, 322 nt
Filed under: Daucus carota (carrot)
Lineage: Eukaryota; Viridiplantae; Streptophyta; Magnoliopsida; Apiales; Apiaceae
Description: long non-coding RNA (DCAR_LNC003741)
Source: RNAcentral
GCUUCUCAAAACCUCAUCUCCUGCAGCCUCAGCGGUGUUCAAGUGGUAAAACUUCUCUUCAUCAGAACCAUUCCCAAACUUCUCACACGAAUCAGGUUGUGCAGCAGAACAUGAUUCAGCAACUACUGCAGAAUAUAAACAAGGGCAAUACUGGGAGUCUGCCACAACAAUGCCAUUCUGGCCAAAGUGCUAGUGGGAGUGGUGGCAGAGAUAGACCUGGGUUUGGGAUUAGCGGUUCAGCAGCAGGAACUGUCGAUGCCUAUGGCUCUGGAGGUGCUAAUGGAUCUGUGACGACUACAAGCGACAGUCGCAGAGGAACUUC